RNAcentral lists this long non-coding RNA (219 nucleotides) under Salvia miltiorrhiza (redroot sage). RNAcentral's name for it is "long non-coding RNA (SMIL_LNC000351)". The record is from RNAcentral. Lineage: Eukaryota; Viridiplantae; Streptophyta; Magnoliopsida; Lamiales; Lamiaceae.
AAAAGGUUGGAAAGAUUUUUGGCAAAAGAUCAGGACAAGUUCAAUCAAAACAGAUUUUCCCUUUUAAAAACUCUUGUCCUUCUCGGAUAUUCCAUUUUCCAACAAUCUAUUAAAGUUUUUUUUUUUUGAAAGAAACUGAUCAGUUAGAGAAAGAUUUAGAACUGAAACUCAAAACUCUUAACUGAAAUAACUGAUUUUAAAAGUAAGCUUUUAAAAUAC